Molecule: ribosomal RNA, 397 nt
Filed under: barley rhizosphere bacterium LJ52
Lineage: Bacteria
Description: bacterial SSU rRNA
Rfam family: Bacterial small subunit ribosomal RNA
Source: RNAcentral
UCAGAACGAACGCUGGCGGCAGGCUUAACACAUGCAAGUCGAACGCCCCGCAAGGGGAGUGGCAGACGGGUGAGUAACGCGUGGGAACAUACCCAACUCUACGGAAUAACUCAGGGAAACUUGUGCUAAUACCGUAUACGCCCUUUGGGGGAAAGAUUUAUCGGAGUUGGAUUGGCCCGCGUUGGAUUAGCUAGUUGGUGGGGUAAAGGCCUACCAAGGCGACGAUCCAUAGCUGGUCUGAGAGGAUGAUCAGCCACAUUGGGACUGAGACACGGCCCAAACUCCUACGGGAGGCAGCAGUGGGGAAUAUUGGACAAUGGGCGCAAGCCUGAUCCAGCCAUGCCGCGUGUGUGAUGAAGGCCUUAGGGUUGUAAAGCACUUUCACCGGAGAAGAUAA